AGAAUCAACGCUGGCGGCGUGCCUAACACAUGCAAGUCGCACGAGAAAGGGGAGCAAUCCCUGAGUAAAGUGGCGCACGGGUGAGUAACACGUGAAUCAUCUACCUCCGAGUGGGGAAUAACCUAGAGAAAUCUGGGCUAAUACCGCAUAAUACCUUCGGGUCAAAGGAGCAAUUCGCUUAAGGAGGGGGUCGCGGCCGAUUAGUUAGUUGGCGGGGUAAUGGCCCACCAAGACUAUGAUCGGUA
This 245-nucleotide ribosomal RNA is filed under the name uncultured bacterium. RNAcentral describes it as "partial small subunit ribosomal RNA". It matches the Rfam family "Bacterial small subunit ribosomal RNA", at positions 26 to 285 of the family's 1533-position model. The record is from RNAcentral.